Molecule: ribosomal RNA, 253 nt
Filed under: uncultured bacterium
Lineage: Bacteria
Description: partial 16S ribosomal RNA
Rfam family: Bacterial small subunit ribosomal RNA
Source: RNAcentral
UACGAAGGGGCUAGCGUUGCUCGGAAUCACUGGGCGUAAAGGGUGCGUAGGCGGGUCUUUAAGUCAGGGGUGAAAUCCUGGAGCUCAACUCCAGAACUGCCUUUGAUACUGAAGAUCUUGAGUUCGGGAGAGGUGAGUGGAACUGCGAGUGUAGAGGUGAAAUUCGUAGGUAUUCGCAAGAACACCAGUGGCGAAGGCGGCUCACUGGCCCGAUACUGACGCUGAGGCACGAAAGCGUGGGGAGCAAACAGGG